GGGUUUUGGUAUCCCUGACUGAAUACUGAUUUGCUCACAGGUCUCCUCCAAUCUCCCUCUCCCACUUUCGUCUUUCUGGGGUCUCUGUUUCAUCCUCUGUCCUCUAUGGCUUUUGUGGGCAUUCAGUUCCAACCGUUGCCCAAGGAAGGAUGAACCCAUCCUCCACCCCCAGUUUUGUUUGUUUGUUUGUUUGUUUUUUGAGAUGGGAUAUCAUUAUGGGGUCCCUGGCUGUCCUGGAAUUAGUGCUGGGAUUAAAGGUGUGUGCCUCCACACCCUGCUGUCAGACGCAUCUCUGUCAUGAACACAUACAUCACCAAAGAUGUUUUUAAAAAAAUUAUCACUGGACAUUGACCUGCUGAGGUAGUGUUUGCCUGUAUCUCCAUCAUCUGAAAGAUGGAGGCGAGGACAAUCAGUUGUUCCUUUGCUACAGAUGGAGUUUGAGGCUAACCUGGGAUACAGGAAGUGCUGUGUCAAAACAACAACAAAAACCCAAACCACCUCCACUCUCCAGAAACCGCCAGCUCUUCGUAGACUAACAAUUUUAAUUUUGCUCACUGUAGCGCGUUAUUCUAUGUGGACAGGUAGCUCUCCCCCAUUUUAUAGUCCCACUCUUAGCCUCAUGGUCCACCCUUCACCUGUGUGAGCAUACGCUGAGAGUUUGUUAAAAUCCACAUUGCUGCCAGGAGUGAUGGGACACAUUUGUAAUCCUAGCACUUGGGAGGCAGGGGUGGGAGGAUUAGCACAAGUUCAAAGCCAGCCAAGACUACACAGAAAUGGACCUUGUCUUACGGUUUUAUUGCUGUGAAGAGACACUAUGACCAAGGCAACUCUUACAAAGGAAAACAUUUAAUUGGGGCUGGCUUACAGCGUCAGAGGUUUAGUCUGUUACCACCAAGGCGGGAAGCAUGGCAGUGGGCAGGCAGGCAUGGUGCUAUAGGAACGGUGAGUUCUACAUCUUGAUCCACAGGCAGCUGAAAGAGACUCUAGUUGGCAGGCAGCCAGGAGGAUGCUCUGAUUCCACCCUGGGCGGAGCUUGAGCACAGGAGACCUCAAAGCCCGCCCACACAGUGAUGCAUUUCCUCCAACAAGGCCACACCUCCUAAGUGCCACUCUCCAUGGUCAAACAUUGAAACACCUGAAUCUAUGGGGGUGAGGGGGGAGGCAAAUCUAUUCAAACCACCAUAGACCCUGUCAUAAAAAAUUAAACAAACAAACAAACAAACAAACAAAUCCAUAUCAUUGGUCUCACUAAGGGAGUUUUCAACUUCAACUCUGGAAGUCUUGGCCAGGGCCUGAGGAUGAAGAUUUCUAGCAAGUUCCCAGGCGUUGCUGGUCCAGCUGUAUGGAGGAGGCCUAACGUUGGGAACCACACAGCGGCAGAAGGCAACCUUCUCUUGCUUGCCUCGAUAUGCGAUUGGCACCGUUUACUUAUUCAGAUUCAUUUAAACGCCAGGCUGGGGGCCUGGAGAGUUGGCUCAGGGAUUAAGAUCUUCUACAGGGCCCACAUUUGAUUCACACAAACCCACAUGGUGGCUUCUAACUCCAACUCUAUUGGAUCUGAUGCCGCCUUCUGGCUUCUGUGGGCAUCAGGCACAUACUGUGGUGCACAGACAGUCAUACAGAUAAAAUACUCAUACACAUAAAAAUAAAAUGUAAACGAACAGGCUGGGUGAUGGGGUCCCCAGAGCUCUGUUGGACACCUGGAAUAAACAAAGGAAACAGAGGAAUUUUGAUGAUCGCUUCCCAGUCUCUGCUAGGCUCAGUAAAUCCACAAAGAUCAUCCUUUUGUGACAAGCUCUCUUUAUGCCCAAAGCCAGGCAAC
Molecule: long non-coding RNA, 1822 nt
Filed under: Mus musculus (house mouse)
Lineage: Eukaryota; Metazoa; Chordata; Mammalia; Rodentia; Muridae
Description: Start
Source: RNAcentral